RNAcentral lists this ribosomal RNA (440 nucleotides) under uncultured Shewanella sp. RNAcentral's name for it is "bacterial SSU rRNA". It matches the Rfam family "Bacterial small subunit ribosomal RNA", at positions 358 to 790 of the family's 1533-position model. Lineage: Bacteria; Pseudomonadati; Pseudomonadota; Gammaproteobacteria; Alteromonadales; Shewanellaceae. The record is from RNAcentral.
GGAAUAUUGCACAAUGGGGGAAACCCUGAUGCAGCCAUGCCGCGUGUGUGAAGAAGGCCUUCGGGUUGUAAAGCACUUUCAGUAGGGAGGAAAGGGUGUAGUUUAAUACGCUAUAUCUGUGACGUUACCUACAGAAGAAGGACCGGCUAACUCCGUGCCAGCAGCCGCGGUAAUACGGAGGGUCCGAGCGUUAAUCGGAAUUACUGGGCGUAAAGCGUGCGCAGGCGGUUUGUUAAGCGAGAUGUGAAAGCCCUGGGCUCAACCUAGGAAUAGCAUUUCGAACUGGCGAACUAGAGUCUUGUAGAGGGGGGUAGAAUUCCAGGUGUAGCGGUGAAAUGCGUAGAGAUCUGGAGGAAUACCGGUGGCGAAGGCGGCCCCCUGGACAAAGACUGACGCUCAUGCACGAAAGCGUGGGGAGCAAACAGGAUUAGAUACCCGAG